GGGCUCACACAAGCGGUGGAGCAUGUGGUUUAAUUCGAUGAUACGCGAGGAACCUUACCAGGUCUUAAAUGCAUAACGAACGAUUGGGAAACCAAUCUUUCUUCGGACGGAAUGCAAGGUGCUGCAUGGUUGUCGUCAGCUCGUGCCGUGAGGUGUCAGGUUAAGUCCUAUAACGAGCGCAACCCCUAUUCUUAGUUGCCAGCGGUUCGGCCGGGGACUCUAAGAAAACUGCCAGUGCAAGCUGUGAGGAAGGUGGGGAUGACGUCAAAUCAUCACGGCCCUUACGACCUGGGCCACACACGUGCUACAAUGGUAGGUACAAAGGGCAGCCACUUGGCGACAAGGAGCUAAUCUCUAAAACCUAUCUCAGUUCGGAUUGGAGUCUGAAACUCGACUCUAUGAAGCUGGAAUCGCUAGUAA
RNAcentral lists this ribosomal RNA (420 nucleotides) under uncultured bacterium. RNAcentral describes it as "bacterial SSU rRNA". It matches the Rfam family "Bacterial small subunit ribosomal RNA", at positions 917 to 1341 of the family's 1533-position model. The record is from RNAcentral.